Long non-coding RNA from Alosa alosa (allis shad), 497 nucleotides. RefSeq lists it as uncharacterized. The record is from RefSeq and is a predicted model, not a curated record. NCBI's taxonomy places the organism in Eukaryota, Metazoa, Chordata, Actinopteri, Clupeiformes, Clupeidae. The transcript is spliced from 2 exons.
AUUCUAACGUGACGCUUUUGUGGUCCUCGUCCUGUUUGGUGUCUGACAGAGCAUGACAGAGGGUGCGCUGCAACCUGCAUUCACGCAACAAGCGCAUCAAGUGAGCGCGCUUUCAGCUCAGCUGGUCAGGUGCUGGAGGCGCGUCGAAAAUAGAUUAAAUCCUGGAACGGUGGAUUCCAUUCUUUUUUUACACAGUGCAGCCAAACAGCUAACCUAAAUCAAACAGGAUCGUACAAAUGCAUUUUUGUUAAGUUCGUGGAUGCAUGUUAUAAUGAUAAUUUUCAACUUUCUUUUAUUAGACAGAUUUCUGGUUCAGUUCAUAAAAAUGUUAAGUUUAGGCAACAGACAGAUAUCAAGGGUUUAAACCGAUUGAACACGUCUGUGUCAAUGUGUUUGUAUUUGUGCUCGUGCGCCAGCUCACAGAGUGAUUUCAUGUUAGGCUACAUGAUGUAGCCUACUUCUGUUUUACCUUUAAAUGCAAUAAAGAAUUAAGGAUC